This 271-nucleotide ribosomal RNA is filed under the name Pseudomonas sp. BC2_NA2C7. RNAcentral describes it as "partial 16S ribosomal RNA". It matches the Rfam family "Bacterial small subunit ribosomal RNA", at positions 1063 to 1333 of the family's 1533-position model. The record is from RNAcentral. Lineage: Bacteria; Pseudomonadati; Pseudomonadota; Gammaproteobacteria; Pseudomonadales; Pseudomonadaceae.
UGUCGUGAGAUGUUGGGUUAAGUCCCGUAACGAGCGCAACCCUUGUCCUUAGUUACCAGCACGUAAUGGUGGGCACUCUAAGGAGACUGCCGGUGACAAACCGGAGGAAGGUGGGGAUGACGUCAAGUCAUCAUGGCCCUUACGGCCUGGGCUACACACGUGCUACAAUGGUCGGUACAAAGGGUUGCCAAGCCGCGAGGUGGAGCUAAUCCCAUAAAACCGAUCGUAGUCCGGAUCGCAGUCUGCAACUCGACUGCGUGAAGUCGGAAUC